GAUGAACGCUGGCGGCGUGCCUAAUACAUGCAAGUCGAGCGAACGGACGAGGAGCUUGCUCCUUUGACGUUAGCGGCGGACGGGUGAGUAACACGUGGAUAACCUACCUAUAAGACUGGGAUAACUUCGGGAAACCGGAGCUAAUACCGGAUAAUAUAUUGAACCGCAUGGUUCAAUAGUGAAAGACGGUUUUGCUGUCACUUAUAGAUGGAUCCGCGCCGCAUUAGCUAGUUGGUAAGGUAACGGCUUACCAAGGCAACGAUGCGUAGCCGACCUGAGGGGGUGAUCGGCCACACUGGAACUGAGACACGGUCCAGACUCCUACGGGAGGCAGCAGUAGGGAAUCUUCCGCAAUGGGCGAAAGCCUGACGGAGCAACGCCGCGUGAGUGAUGAAGGUCUUCGGAUCGUAAAACUCUGUUAUUAGGGAAGAACAAAUGUGUAAGUAACUAUGCACGUCUUGACGGUACCUAAUCAGAAAGCCACGGCUAACUACGUG
This 497-nucleotide ribosomal RNA is filed under the name uncultured bacterium. Its description in RNAcentral is "partial 16S ribosomal RNA". It matches the Rfam family "Bacterial small subunit ribosomal RNA", at positions 28 to 507 of the family's 1533-position model. The record is from RNAcentral.